Centrocercus urophasianus (Greater sage-grouse) is the source of this 4149-nucleotide long non-coding RNA. RefSeq lists it as uncharacterized. NCBI's taxonomy places the organism in Eukaryota, Metazoa, Chordata, Aves, Galliformes, Phasianidae. The transcript is spliced from 3 exons. The record is from RefSeq and is a predicted model, not a curated record.
AGAGAAAUCCUUGUUGCACGGUAUGGGUAGACCCAAGAGCCUCUAUGCACAGGAUGAUCUGUUUGGAGAGGAAUAUCAUCAGUGUAUGCCGUGAAAACAGAAUUUUCAAAGGUUUCCUAAAUACUAAGUGAGCUAUACAACAAGACUGUGUGAAUCCCACUUGAAAGAUGUUCAACAGCAGUUCAGAAGGGUUCUUCACUGAAUUGGCAGUGGACAUGGAACAGUCUCCCCAGAGCUGUGUUCAUAGCCUCAGGCUUCUGGAGUUCAAGGACAGUGCUCUCAGUUAUGCGAUCUGAUUUUUGGGUGGUGUUGGAUGGAGCCAAGCGUUGGACUCAAUGAAUCUUAAGAGAAAUGAAGAACCGAUGGAUGAUUGCACUUUCAGAUGAACUCAUCACAUGCACCUACCUUUGUCUGAAUGUAUAAUAUAGAAUUCUAAUUAGUACAUAUUUGGAUGAAUAUUUUGUAUAUAUGUAGCUACUUGCAUAUUCAUUUAAAAUUAGUAAUUACAUUCAUCAGAUAUCUCCAUUUUAUGCUAACGGUUGACCAGAAAGCUGCUAAACAAGAUCCUGGGGGUGUGGGACAUCUCUUUCCUUGUGCCAACAUGGGUCUCACUCCUUUCCCACUGUUUGACUUAAAAUAUCAAACCACAAGUGAAACCUGUUUGACUAGGUAAGUUUUACGAGUUUGGCCUGUCAAACUAUGUAAGUAAAACAGGUAAGUAAAAAUCAAAUACAAAAAGAUGGUAUACAGAGAGUAGAAGCAAGACAGGUAAUGAAGAGGGAAUAUAGACAUUGUCCAAUCAUCUAGGGAUGAAGUUAGGAAAGCUAAAGCCCAAGUGAAAUUCAGUAUGACUAGGGAUGUCAAAGACAUCAAGAAAGGCAUAGGCAAGAACAUUGUUGAUGAAAGGAAGAAUAAAAAAAAUGCAGGCCCUCUGCUGAAAGAAAUAGAAUAUCUAGUUACAUGGGAAAAUGAUAAGACAGAGGUAUUGAAAGCCUCAAACACAAUUAUACUUGCCAUCAGGACUAGCCUUAAGUAAUACCAGAUUGAUAGGGAGAAAAAAAAUGAAGCAAGAUAGACGUACUCUUGAUGGAAGAGGAUCAUGUCAAGAAAUACUUAAGUGAACUGGGCAUACAAAAAAUUCACAGGCCCUAAUGGAAUACACCCACAGGAAGUAGCUGGCAGAUGUCAUUUUGAGGCCACUCUUGGAAAUCUUUGUUUGAUCAUGGCAAAAGGAAAAGUACCUGAAGACCAGGGGAAAACAAAUGCUACUCCUAUCUUCAGGAAGGUCAAGAAGGAGGACCUAGGGAACUGCAUGCUAGUUAGCUUUACCUCAGUCAUUAGGAAGGUAAUAGAAAAGCUAACUUGGAAACCAUAUCCAGGCACAUGAAUGAUAAGAAAAUCAUAAGCAGUAGCAAACACGCAUUCACUAAAGGGAAGUCAUGCUUGAUCAAUUUAACAAGCUUCUACUCUGAGUGGAUCAAACUGAUGGGUGACAGAAAUGCAGCGAACAUUGUCUUCCUGGGCUUCAGUAAGGCUUUUAACAUUCUUCCCAUAAGAUUCUUGGACAUACAUUCUUGAUGUGUGGGCUGGAUAGCCAAAUGUGGGAUUGGAUGAAAACUGGCUGAAUGGCUAGGCAUAGAGUGUGGUGGCCAGUGCCUCAAAGUCUAAUUAGAAGCUAGUAACUUGAAGAGUACCCUGUGGGUCAGUACUACUCAGUCCUGUUUAACAUCUUCAUUAAAAAUCUGGAUGAACAGGCUAAGUGCACUCAGCAAGUUUGCAGGUGAUACAAAACGAGAAUGAGUGACUUAUGUAUACGCCAGUCAUGCUGCCAACCAGGGGGACCUGGUCAGGCUGGAGAACUUGGCCAAGCAGGAGACUCAUACAGUUCAACCAGUAUUGCAAUGUCCUGCAUCUAUAAAAGAAGAGCUCCAGGCACCAGUGCAUUCUGGGAGUCACCCAGCUGGAAAGCAGCCUGGCAGGAAAGGCACUGGGGAUCCCCAUGGGCAACAAGUUUGUUCCACUGCUGCAAAGAAGGCUGCAAAAAAGGAUAUAAAGAAGGAUGAUAACAUCCUGAGCUGAAUUAAGCAAAAUAUUGUCAGGAGGUCUACUCAUCCUCCCUACUCUGCAUUGGUGAGACCACUAAUGGAGGAGGAUUUGGCUAUGCCAUGGCAAGAAGACUGUUUGCAAAAGAUCAUGUAAUAGUCCCUGGAACAGAUGUAUGAAGAUGCACUUAGAGAUAGAAAUCAUAAAGAACUCAUGGUCAUAGAUUGGAAGGAAAUGGUUUUUCUUCCUCCCAAUCUAAAAAAAAAGGAAAUAAAUGAGUAUACCAUUUUAAUCUGGGAGAUUUACCUUGCUUUUCCCAAUAAAAGUUCUUAUUUUAUAUUUUAGAACCAAAAGCAAAGUCAAGGUAGUUUGAUUUGGCAGAUUUUAACAAGUUCUGAAGCUGAGAUUAGUUCAAAAGCUAUAGUAAUUAACGGCUGAAUUAAGACACAAGUGCAGGUUAGCCCAAUGGCUACCAUGCAGUGUAUUUGUAUUUGUUGUUGAGCCUCCCUGCAUUUCUCUUUUGGUGAACAAACACUUGAUGGUGCAUUACAAACAUAAAACCUUUUAAACAAAAGUUUUUUUUUGAGGGAGUUUAGAUUACCUGUAUUCUCUUAAAAUUUACGAGCUGGUGGAAAAUGCACUUCAUAAGCUGAAGACCUGAAAGUCAGGCUCUCUUUUCUAACAACUGCUCUUAUUUCAUGGAAGGACUUCUCAAUAUAGUAGCAUUUAUUAUGUGCCUUUGGCUUACCCAUUUACCAUCUAUUCCCAUUAAUACCUGCCACCUGUAUAGAUUGCACAGUGACUAUUUUAGAAAGAGAAUUUAUUUAGUGGUUUAAUCCUUGGGUAGUAAAUAUUAAUUAGGCGCUUAAAUUAUUGGUUUUUAAGCAGUUUUUUUGUGAUAUGGAGGGCAUGUUUUUCUGUCAGUUGCUGAACAUUUAUUUUAAACAUAUUAAACUACCACAGGAGUAUUCAGUGCACGAAAACCUUUUCAUGUUUGAGUGGAUUAAAUUUACAAGUCUAAAUUGAUGAUAUAAAUUACAUUUACAUAAUUCAUUCUUCACAAUGGGGAAUUUGUUUUGCAUGUGAAUCUGUUAAUAUAUGCAACUAAGGAUGAAAACAUAGUACACUAUUUUUGCCCACACUGCUAAUUUGGACUAAACAGAGUUUUAGACUACUUCAGCUCCUUACCUGCUUGGUUGCUGUAUUCUUCUUUCAGUUUCUAUUUCACAAUUAAGUAGCAUGUACAUGUGUUUUCAAAUAAAAAAGGCUUUGCUAGAUAAACUCAGUGGGCCUUGCUUUGGCUCUUAAGAACAUACUAAUUCCUAAAAGCUAAUAUUAGUAUUUUAUUUAUUAGCAUAAAUAGGAAAAGUCAACAGGGGAGAAGCAAAAUAGUUGAACAAAAGACUAGACCCUAAUGUUUUCCUUUUUUGAUAUCAAACAUUUGCAAGAAAAACUAAACAUUAUUUAGUAAUAGAAUUUGAUUUAAGAAGACAAAAAUUUCGAAAAUUAUACCAAGCAUCUAACCAGCCAACUAACACUGAAUUUAGUAGAAGUUCUGUGGCUAAAUCCCUCUGCCAUUUUGAAGCCCCAAAUCUCACUGUAAUUUUCAGCACCUGAAACCAUUUGAACAUUUGGCAUGGCUCAUGUUAGCAAUUUAUUUUUUUAAAUCAGACAUCUUUAUUACCCUAAUACUUGCUUUUAGAAAGCAUGCCUUGUACCAUACUAACAACCAGUAAUAUUCCUAAAAGCUGUGUGUAUAAAAUGUGCAGCACUUCAUAUUGUAUUCAAAGGCCUGAUUGUUAGUGAAUUGUAUUUGUUUAGAUGUAUUCAAGAAAUCACACUCAUUUUUCCCUUGUCAGUCACAUUAUCUUUAUCUACCAAUGGAAACACUAAAAUUGCCAUCUCCUUUCAUCCUUUGAUCUGUUUGUUUAGUAAAGAGGAAGAGAAACCAAACCCAAAGGUGCCUAUAAGCAGAUAAAACAAUGGCAGUCCAGGCGUUUUUUGAGCAUCUGAAAAUGGUCAUUAAGCCGAGACAUAUUUUUAUCCCUUUGUUAAUCUCUCUUUCAACACAACAUAUAUAUGCAAAUUUAAUAAUUUAAAUAUAAA